Ricinus communis (castor bean) is the source of this 905-nucleotide long non-coding RNA. RefSeq lists it as uncharacterized. The transcript is spliced from 2 exons. The record is from RefSeq and is a predicted model, not a curated record. Lineage: Eukaryota; Viridiplantae; Streptophyta; Magnoliopsida; Malpighiales; Euphorbiaceae.
CCUUUCGUUAUAUUAUGAGAUGCCUAGGUCAUGUCUACUGUCCCUUGUAGCAAGUUGAUGACAAUUUUGGAUAUAAAUGAAGCACAUUAUCUUCAUAGCUUAGUUAUAGACGUCAUUCAAAACCCAAUACAAGGACUUGGAAAUGGAGAAGCAGAGACAUUUUGUUUUGGUCCAUGGGGCUUGGUGUUGGUACAAAGUAGCUGCUCGUCUUAAAUCAUCUGGCCAUAAAUUCACAGCUCUAGGCCUUGCUGCCUCUGGUGUAAAUCCAAAGCAGGUGCACCACCUCAAAUCAAUAUCCGAUUAUUUUCAGCCAUUGAUGUAAUUUAUGACGUCUUUGCCAUCAGAAGAAAGAGUUAUUCUAGUGGGUCAUAGUUUUGGUGGGCUUGUUGUUUCUUUUGCCAUGGAAAGAUUUCCUGAUAAAGUCUCUGCUGGAGUAUUUGCUACAGCUAUGCUGCUAGGUCCUGACUUAGUUACACAACUACAAAUAAAGAGUUCUGAACUCAGGACUUGCUGCUUGGAAUCAUGUUGAUAAGACCUUACCCUCUCUUUAGUGAUGAUGCAAUAGAAAGAGAAGUAGUGUUCACCAAAGAAAGAUAUGGAUCAGUUCCUCGAGUUUAUGUAGUAUGUGGCCAAGAUAACAUUGUAAAUGAGGAUCUACAGAGGUGGGUGGUCCAAAGCAAUCCACCUGAUUGGGUAAAGAUCAUCCCUGAUUCUGAUCACAUGGUCAUGUUCUCGAAACCACAAGAAUUUUGCUCUUGCCUUGAGGAGAUUGCUAACAAGUAUAUGAAUUACCUCUUCAGAGUAGCAAGUGGAAAGAGUUCUAUGAGGUCCAAAUUCUUGUUGAAUCUUUGUAUUAUUUUCCUGAGAAAAGAUCAAUGAACUUACCUGUAUGAACAAGUAGUUUA